RNAcentral lists this ribosomal RNA (576 nucleotides) under Globigerinita uvula. RNAcentral describes it as "SSU rRNA". It matches the Rfam family "Eukaryotic small subunit ribosomal RNA", at positions 1234 to 1592 of the family's 1831-position model. The record is from RNAcentral. Lineage: Eukaryota; Foraminifera; Rotaliida; Globigerinitidae.
UUUGCAUUGUUAAAUAUGCUAGUCCUUUCAUGAUUAUGUGAUAGGUGGUGCAUGGCCGUUCUUAGUUCGUGGAGUGAUCUGUCUGCUUAAUUGCGUUUCAAAUUACUUAUAAGGUAGCAAUACGCGAUGAAGCUUUCAAUAGUCCUCACGGAUUCACUUGAGUCUCUCGCUUCGCUAUCCUUUCGAAUGCAACGAACGUGACCGCAACCUCUUGUUGCCUUCGUUUAACAUCCUGCAGCUCGCUGUGGGUACUGAGGGCUUCACUCGGUGACUUUGGGCUGAGCAAUCGGUCUUUUGAUCUGAGUAAACUAGAGGGACCGCUGUCAACUUCUUAAACCAGAGGAAGGUUGCGGCAAUAACAGGUCUGUGAUGCCCUUAGAUGUUCCGGGCUGCACACGUGCUACAAUGAUCGUAGCAGUGAGCAUCUUAUUUGAUUUACUUAACACCGCAUACGUGAGUACCAACUAGCUUAGCAAUAAGUCAAGUAGUUCUCUACGCAGCGGUAACAGCCUGCUUCGAGAGCAAGUGGGUAAUCAAUUAGAAGUAACGAUUUCUUCGCAUUAGCACACUUAAUAU